GCAAGUCGAACGGCAGCACAGGAGAGCUUGCUCUCUGGGUGGCGAGUGGCGGACGGGUGAGGAAUACAUCGGAAUCUACUCUGUCGUGGGGGAUAACGUAGGGAAACUUACGCUAAUACCGCAUACGACCUACGGGUGAAAGCAGGGGAUCUUCGGACCUUGCGCGAUUGAAGGAGACGAUGUCGGAUUAGCGAGUGGGCGGGGUAAAGGCCCACCAAGGCGACGAUCCGUAGCUGGUCUGAGAGGAUGAGC
This 252-nucleotide ribosomal RNA is filed under the name uncultured bacterium. RNAcentral describes it as "partial 16S ribosomal RNA". It matches the Rfam family "Bacterial small subunit ribosomal RNA", at positions 57 to 305 of the family's 1533-position model. The record is from RNAcentral.